GUCUACGGCCAUACCAUGUUGAAAAUACCAGUCUCGUCCGAUCCCGGAAGUCAAGCAACAUUGGGUCAAGUUAGUACUUGGAUGGGUGACCGCCUGGGAAUACUUGAUGUUGUAGACAA
RNAcentral lists this ribosomal RNA (119 nucleotides) under Pseudodiaptomus poplesia. The record is from RNAcentral. Lineage: Eukaryota; Metazoa; Arthropoda; Copepoda; Calanoida; Pseudodiaptomidae.